Molecule: long non-coding RNA, 516 nt
Organism: Equus quagga
Lineage: Eukaryota; Metazoa; Chordata; Mammalia; Perissodactyla; Equidae
Exons: 3
Source: RefSeq, a predicted model, not a curated record
GAGGAAGAGAGGUUCUCUGCAUUCAUCUUCUCUCCAGAUGGAAUGUUCUUCUUUGUAGAAGAGAAGACUAGCACUGCUGUGCUACCCUGUUGGCACCUAUUCACUUUUCCUCACUUGAUCUCCACACCAACGUUUCGCCUGAGGAACCGAGGGUGAUAAGUAACUCCACCUUCUAAAGAAGCUGCUAAAGCAUCCAUGUAGGAUUUGCUAAGAAGUGGCCCAACACCAGUUCUAUGCCCUUGCCCCAUCACCCACCUCCAGCCUAUAUAUGAGAAGACUGGAGCUUGAUCAAGGAUGCUGGGGAGUAAAGAUUUCUUCAAAGCAACUUAUCACAGUGUCCUGUGUUUUCCCUACCCACCGACUGAGGCUUGAAGGAAAGUGUUUUCUUGUCCCUCUUCAAGCCAGAUGCAACUAAAAACCCUGGAUAUUGUACGUAAAAGACACAAAAGAAGAAUCUGGAAGGUGGAGAGAAGAGGUAGAUUGGCUAGACCUUGGGAUCCCAAGAGCAGCAUGGGG